This is a long non-coding RNA of Symphalangus syndactylus (siamang), 244 nucleotides long. RefSeq lists it as uncharacterized. NCBI's taxonomy places the organism in Eukaryota, Metazoa, Chordata, Mammalia, Primates, Hylobatidae. The record is from RefSeq and is a predicted model, not a curated record.
UACUGGCAUGCCCAAGAAUGACCAAGACUAAAUCAUUCCCUCAGGAUUCUUACAAGCAUUUGCUAAAGGAAACCCUCCAGGAAAAUAGAGAAUUCUACAAAAAGAGCUCUUUUCGGCUAACAUUUCUGACGCUUGUGAAGAGUUGGAACCAUCAAGUUAUCAAAUUAAUCAUGUGUCAUCACCUGCUAACAUGAAACAUCAAGACACAGACCCACACCAGAGGAAUGACCAUAUGAAUGCAGAG